UCCUCCUCCGUCUGUUUCACUUUUACCGGAGAACCUGCUGCUCCAGCGUGACCCAAAGUGACCCAGCAGUUUAGCGUGGUAGCGAAGGCCCGGGGACUGACCGGGCUCUUGACCAGCUGACAGCUGCGUGUGAGAUGUUAAGUGCAGCCAAGGGUGACGCUGGGCAGGUCCUGGCCUUCUGAGGGUCUCAGUGCUCUCUUCUGUAAAAUGGGAACCCUGGUGGCCACUGUCUCCUGGUGCUGGUGUUGAGGAUUAAAGAGCUUGUAAUGCGACUAGGACAGCGUUUGGCACCUACUAAGCCAAACACCAAGUUAAUAGUUGCGGUGAGUAGAAACUGCUUGCUUGGUGUCACGGGGGCCUGGCAGUUUCUUCACCCUAUAUUUACAGUGGCACCAGUACACAUGUUUGGGCGAGUCUUCUCCACCAGAGGUAGAGGUGAGGAAUAGAGAGGGAGUUUAUUUUGAUUCUGGGCUGUGUGUUGCAGGUGGAGUUUGGGAGAACUGGGGGGCGUAGAAGGUGAGUGUAUUGGCUGGUUUUUUGAAGCCAGAGAGCCCAUCAGCAGCUGGAAUGGAGGUGCAGAAACUGUUGAGCUGGAGAGAGGAAUGGGAGCCUGAAGGCUGAGAGGGAGGGUCCCAGGCUACAUUUCGGAGCUGAGCCGCUCCGGAUGAAGCUGAAGCUGUGUCUAAAUGUGAUUAGCCAGGGGUUGGGAGAGCAACCUCUCCCCCCCUUUAGCCCCUGGCUUUCUUCUGCCCUAUCUUUCAGAGAGGGAGAAAACCGAAGGUGUUGGACCUGUUGUGCAGUUCCUUGAGGGCUAAGGAGCACUGAGCCAUAGGAUCUUCAGAGGGAAGCCAGCAUUAGUUAAGCUUGAAGACUUUCUAGCAAGAGAGUUGAGAUGAAGACACCAAAGAGAACAUGCACUGGUAAGACCUGGAAAUUCUGCCACCAUCUUGCUUCCAGCCUGAGAUGAAGAACCUCGAGAGAAAACAAGGGCAGAAAGCAUCAGGGUGAUUGCUGAGAAGCAGAGCUGGAACCACUGGAUUGAGUUCUCCAAAGCCUGUUGGACAUCUAGACAUCCAACUUUUUGAAGUCCCCUCAUACUGAGGACCUACUGAGUAUCAAGCACUGUUCUGGGCACUCAAGCAGAUGAAAAUCCUAGCUUCAUGGCACUGAGAUUCUGGUGGGGAGUGCUAAUCUCACUUCAAUACAAUCGAAAAAGCCUGGACUUCUCCAGGCUCCAGAUUGCUUCCACUGCUGGAUAGAAUAAAAGGACAAGUUCACCUGUGCUUGCUUGAGUCUCUGGGAGAGACAGCAGUUGGCCUGGUCUUCCAGAGAUGUUCAAAGAGGAUACUGUGGCCAACGACUGCCUGGCAGAAGUGAUAAUAUCUAUAGAAAGACGAAAAGGAUUCUUCCAUUACCGCAUGCUGGUCUUCCAGAAAAGCCUUAAAACCAAACACCGUGAUGAAUUGCCAUGCUGAUUAAUGAAGACACAACUGGUCCCAACUUGGAGCAGAUUCAUUCUUGGCUCUAGAUCCUGUUGAUUCUGCUGGCUUUGCACUGAGUCCAAGUUCUCAUCCUCGUAAUGAUCUGUGUGGGAACAGCUUAAAGACUUGUAAAUAUAUAGAAACUACGAGGAGCUGUGUGACCUUGGGCAAGGUAUUUCAUCUCUGAACUUCUGUGUCUAUACAAGGAGAAUGGUAUUACUGAUCUCAUCGAAUUGCAUGUGAAUUAAAUGAGAUACUACGGUAAGGUGUGUGUAUGUCCUUUUCGGGGAAGAGAAAGCUACCAGGUAGUAUACAGGUAAGUAGAAUUGCAUCCGUUAUGAAAGGGAUUUGUAGUGACUUCAUGUUCUGGGGGAGCCCCAAGUCUGAAAGGACUUACCCAGAAUACUUACUAAUUCCAAGAAACACACCCGGAGAUCCAGGAGAAGACCUGAGUUUACUCACACUGGGGAGACCAUGUUCUGGUGAUGACUGGGAGGACAAUGGUUCCUGCUUCCAGGAGCAUAGCUCGGGUUUAUAUGGCCAGCCCACGGUCAGCUCUUCUCAGAAGCAACUGAAGCCCAACCCCAUCCCCUGCUCAAGCUCCAAGUGAACCAGUCACCCUCUCAACAGUUUUUCCACAUCACUUAGCCUUUAGUGCAGAGUUUAAAAGGUGAGAGGCCUGUGCUUGGGUGCCAGCAAGUUGGGGGAAGAUAUCAUUGAGAUGCACAAUGCACGUGGAAGGAAGUCAGAAGUUCUUGGGAAACACGGUGGACUCUCAUCAGUGAAUAUGGCACAACACCCUCGCCACACACAACUACACAGAACUGUGGAUGUAGAAGUGUGGGCAUCGCUAUAUGGGGACAGUGGACAAUUAUCCUUCUCCCAUGCAAGAUUCCUCCCAAGUCUCUGUGUUCUACCUGCCUGCCUCAAGAGUGGCAGGAAUAGAACUUGACUCAAGUGAAGGAGCAUGGAAGACCAUCUGGGCAGAAGAAAAGCACUGACAUGUGCCAGCCAUGGUUCUGGAACCAAUAGAGGAUCCACCGGUGGACAUCAGAAUGUCAUUGAGUACUGUUAAAUUAAACUAUUUUGACCUAAAAUAGUUUACAGACGCUGUACUCUCACACUUUGGUUCCUAUGGAUAAGCUGAAAUCAUACAUGUAAGGCUGUUUUUCUGAGCUGGUUUCUAAGUUACAGCCAAUCACAGCAGCUAGGCUUCAGUCAAUCACAGGCAUCCCGCCUUUUAAACCGUGUUAAUGCAGACAAUCUUCAGAAUAUAACCAAUGAUUUCUC
Long non-coding RNA from Tupaia belangeri chinensis (Chinese tree shrew), 2771 nucleotides. RefSeq lists it as uncharacterized. Lineage: Eukaryota; Metazoa; Chordata; Mammalia; Scandentia; Tupaiidae. The transcript is spliced from 10 exons. The record is from RefSeq and is a predicted model, not a curated record.